This is a non-coding RNA of Anas platyrhynchos (mallard), 1116 nucleotides long. The record is from RefSeq and is a predicted model, not a curated record. NCBI's taxonomy places the organism in Eukaryota, Metazoa, Chordata, Aves, Anseriformes, Anatidae.
CGGCCCGGCCGCCCGGGGAGCGGAGGGAGGCGGGAGGCGGCUGAGGGCAGGGCAGGGGCUGAGCGAGGGGGGUUUUCUCCCGGGUCCCGUCAGGUUCAAGCCCCUCGGUGGUUGUGUGGAGGCCAAGCGGCGCUGCUGGAAGGCUGAGCUGCUGCCCAACAGCCCGGGGGAUUUGUGUUAUUCGUGGAAAACCAAAGCAGCUUGGUUUAAAAUGCUGACUUGAAUGGAUAGCGUGGACCUUCAGAGGAGCGCGCAGAAGGAGCAGCAGCGCCUGCAAGGUUUGGCUACAUCGGUUUACAGGCAACAAUUAAUGGGAACUCAGCUCCGUUGUAGGACUUCCAGCAUCCCGUGAAACAAAAUCUGGUACUUUAGGAGGCUCAGAGCAGGAACGUACCUGCCUUUGAGGGAACUGUGUGUACCACCCAAACGAGCUGUUGACAAGGAUGCUGGACAAGUGGUAUUCAUGUAGUCAGCAUUUCCUUUUAGACAUAAAAUGGAACACCCCACCUAGUGUUCCCCACGCUUUUGGAGGAUGGAAAACCACCCACGGGAAACAGAGUGUACAGUACCCAUGUGCAGCAUAAAAACAUUUCACAAAUAAUGAAAACAUCCCUUUUGAAAAUCUCAACAAAAACGGAUCCCAUUGGGACCAGACUGUCAGUGCCUCCCAAAACAAGGCAGAAAUAUCUAGCCUAUAAAACAUGCCAAAGGUGACCAGUAAGUAUCCCACUAACCUCUGAAACUGCUCACUGCUUUGUUUGCUGAGAAAAAGAAGUAUGACUUUUGUAUUUAAAUUUUAGGUGCCAUGUUAACAGGUUCACUACAUUACCCUUUAAGGUCUAUUCUCUCCUAACAGCUACUCAGGAAGACACCUAUCUGUCCGUUGGGAAAAGUGGAAUUAACAUCUCUUGGUUAUGCAGAUCAAUUCUGCUGGGCAUCAGCUUCUGUAACAGUGCAAAAGAAUUCUGGAAUCCCUGAAGAAUGACAGAUGUGAUCCAAAAGCAUCUUCCAGCCCAGAAGUUGGAAUUGCAGGGCAAUUUUCUCCAGACAAGACACUGACAACAAAGCAGCAAUGUUUCUUUCAAAAAAAAAAAUAAAAAACCAUGCCUAAUGUUU